Molecule: long non-coding RNA, 560 nt
Organism: Juglans regia (Persian walnut)
Lineage: Eukaryota; Viridiplantae; Streptophyta; Magnoliopsida; Fagales; Juglandaceae
Exons: 3
Source: RefSeq, a predicted model, not a curated record
ACAAAAACUAUCCUAAGGCAUAUCUACUCCAACCCAUCGACCCUCACCCAAGGAAAAGAGAAAACUACAUCUUCCUCUCCAAGCAAGCCAUAGCCGACCUUCAUCUCUUUCCUUCCUCUUCUCUUUCCAUCUUCAAGAAUGCAAGUUUCCCUCAUCUCUUUCAAGCUUUGUGACUCCAUAACAAGGGAAGAAAACAUCUUCCUCCAUCUCCAAGCCUUGUGUACCUCAUCUCUACCCAUUUUCGAUUUUGCCUCAAAGCUUAGAACUAAAGCUUGAUUUUAUCUUCCAAAUGGUGAAAUCUUGAAGGACCUAUAUUGAUGAUGGAAGUAUUGAGAAUCAUAGAGGUAAUGACGAAAAGGCUAGGGAGCAAGGCAUUACUGCAGAGGGAGAGACAGACGCUUAGGGUCUUCCCUAACUAGAACAAUUAUGUUUAUGGAUGGUGGGUUAUGUUUCUAUAUAGAUGUUUUAUGUUGGGAUGGACUCUGAGAGUCUCUUAUGGAUGAAUGUUUGAAUAUAAUGUUUAUCAGGUGUUCCCUUUAUUAAAUUAAAAAUUUAGAGUA